RNAcentral lists this ribosomal RNA (495 nucleotides) under uncultured soil bacterium. Its description in RNAcentral is "bacterial SSU rRNA". It matches the Rfam family "Bacterial small subunit ribosomal RNA", at positions 26 to 523 of the family's 1533-position model. The record is from RNAcentral.
AGAUUGAACGCUGGCGGCAGGCCUAACACAUGCAAGUCGAGCGGUAGAGAGGUGCUUGCAUCUCUUGAGAGCGGCGGACGGGUGAGUAAUGCCUAGGAAUCUGCCUAGUGGUGGGGGAUAACGUUCGGAAACGGACGCUAAUACCGCAUACGUCCUACGGGAGAAAGCGGGGGACCUUCGGGCCCCGCGCCAUUAGAUGAGCCUAGGUCGGAUUAGCUAGUUGGUGAGGUAAUGGCUCACCAAGGCGACGAUCCGUAACUGGUCUGAGAGGAUGAUCAGUCACACUGGAACUGAGACACGGUCCAGACUCCUACGGGAGCAGCAGUGGGAAUAUUGGACAAUGGGACGAAAGCCUGAUCCAGCCAUGCCGCGUGUGUGAAGAAGGUCUUCGGAUUGAAAGCAACUUUAAGUGGAGGAAGGUUGUAACCUAAUACGUUGCAAUUUGACGUUACCGACAGAAUAAGCACCGGCUAACUCGUGCCAGCAGCCGAGUAA